CAACCCUCAGGACCCCUCGCGGGACCUGGCGUUGGGGAUCGGCUCGCCCUUAGCGGCUGCCGGCCCUGAAAUACAGUGGCGGUCUCAUCGCGACCUCCCCUGCGUAGUAGUGAUACCUCGCAGCCGGAUAGCGGUGCGGCCACGCCGUAAAACACCCCACUUCUCAA
RNAcentral lists this unclassified non-coding RNA (167 nucleotides) under uncultured Hypocreales. Its description in RNAcentral is "sequence contains ITS2". Lineage: Eukaryota; Fungi; Ascomycota; Sordariomycetes; Hypocreales. The record is from RNAcentral.